Molecule: non-coding RNA, 382 nt
Organism: Angiostrongylus costaricensis
Lineage: Eukaryota; Metazoa; Nematoda; Chromadorea; Rhabditida; Metastrongylidae
Source: Rfam
CCAUGCCUCUCGAUCUAAAAUAUAAAAACUAUUAGCCAACGAGGAAUAUUGGAAAGUACAACAGUUAUAAAUUAGUGUCGAUUUAAAAGAGAGGUCAUUUGUAUUCCUAAGUAUUUCUGGAGCUAACACAUGCUAUUAAACCCUGACUUUCGAAAGGGUGCAAUUAUUAGAGCAAAUCAAUCAUUUUCGGUUUUAGUCUGCUGACUCUGAAUAACGCAGUAUAUCGGCGGCUUGUUCGCCGAUAAUCCGAAAAAGUGUCUGCCCUAUCAACCUAAUGGUAGUCUAUUAGUCUACCACGGUUAUUACGGGUAACGGAGAAUAAGGGUUCGACUCCGGAGAGGGAGCCUUAGAAACGGCUACCACAUCCAAGGAAGACAGCAGG